RNAcentral lists this ribosomal RNA (182 nucleotides) under unidentified eubacterium 161R6. Its description in RNAcentral is "partial 16S ribosomal RNA". It matches the Rfam family "Bacterial small subunit ribosomal RNA", at positions 501 to 681 of the family's 1533-position model. The record is from RNAcentral.
CUGANUNACAGCAGNCGCGGUAAUACAGAGGGUGCAAGCGUUGUUCGGAAUUAUNGGGCGUAUAGGGCGCGUAGGCGGUGCUGUAAGUCUGUGGUGAAAUCUCUGGGCUCAACUCAGAGUCUGCCAUAGGAAACUGCAGUGCUGGAGUGUGGGAGAGGUGAGUGGAAUUCCCGGNGUAGCGG